Molecule: long non-coding RNA, 2636 nt
Organism: Anguilla anguilla (European eel)
Lineage: Eukaryota; Metazoa; Chordata; Actinopteri; Anguilliformes; Anguillidae
Exons: 3
Source: RefSeq, a predicted model, not a curated record
AUUGCCAACUAAAUUAUCGCUAAAGUGUUUUUUUUUUUUUUCCUUCGGAAUUUACAGUAGGAAUAAAGGAGCCUCUGGUAGGCAAAAUUAAAAUUCCCAUAAUUUCCUCAUUUGAUUAUCUCACGUUAUUGUUUACAUUAAGCGUGGCAAUUAAAAAAAUGUGAGCAAUUUUUGCUGUCAAUAAAAGGAAAUAAGAAAUAGAUUUUUGAAAUGAUCCUGUAGUGUAAGAUUGAAAUAGCACGGGAUAAACACUCGAAAGGGAAGACUAAAUACGCCGCUCAAUUGGGUCUGAGUCCAUAUUUCUCGAACCCCCAAAGAUCAAACGGUUUGACAUUGCCGAAAUGUGCGCUUUUAAGUGAGGGAUCUCGUUGGUGUUGUAGAUGGUGGCCACGGGAUGUUAUGACCGAGUAAUUAUGUUCCUCGGACAGAUGCAUUAACCAGGCUCAGAGCUGGAGCCACUGGAUAUUAUUUUAGCCCGAGGGCGCGAGGAACCAAGCCGUUCCCCGAGAGAAAGUCGGUCAGGGUCUUGCCCCCAGUCUUCUUCAAAUGAGCGAGUUUGGGUCCAACUGGGACUGAGGCUGAUAAACAUUCUCGGUUCAGAACGUCAACUUCCGUUAUUCACGGUCAAAUGGAGGCUGUUCAAUCCUGGUCACUAUGAUGCUACUCGGUCCAUGCCAUUUUCUUUAUCGUUCUUGUUUGCUUUAAUAAUUACAAAUAACCGAAUAAAUAAAAGCAUGCAGCCCUUCUGUGUCCCCCUUGGCCUUCGAAUGCAGAAAACUGCUGAAGAGUAAAAGCAGAUCACACCUUAGAUUAUACUUCCGCACUCUCCAAAGAACUUCCGGACCUUUUUUUCUGUAAAAGAGCCGCCGAACAGGCCCAGUUCAUAUUAGGCCGCUGACGCAAUGUAAUGCUAACACGAGACGUUAAGGAAGCAAACAUAGUAUUUGGUCAUUUAAGCCCAGUUGGGUGUUAUAGGGUUUCAGUCAAAUCUGAUUUCUAGUUCUGUAUACCUUGAUCACAUGAGGAACAUCUGAGAGAAUUUGCAAAGAUUGUGAGACCAGAAACUUCACUCGCUUCCCUAGCCAUGGUACAAGACAAGUGUUUACUUAGUAGACUCUGCCUUAUACAAAUGCCAAGCAGAGUGCCUUCUUUUUUUCUCCAUUCAGUGCUGGGGAGGAAAUGUUAAAUCCUGCAGGGAGGUAGUUGCUGGCAGCACAGUUUAAUAUGUUUCGCUUCUAAGCAUCAGUGCCUUGUGUUAGGAGUACACCAUGAACCUUUCCCAAUUAGUUGGUGCCCCCACCCAAUCCCCUACACUUCGAAAAUAUCCAUCCACCCACAUAUUGUUAGGAUUCAAUGCCUCUAGCAAGGACAGAAAGAGCUCUGACCCCUUAAACACUAAAAAACAUUUAUAAACAAUACCACUAAACUAAAAUGAGUAGGCCUACGGCCAUCUUUCUGACCCAUCAAGAAUUUAACUUAAUAAGGCCUGCAUUCAAUCUAACCUUCAUACGCUUUGACCUUAACUCUACAUCAGCCCUUAGCCAUAAUUUUGUUAGCAUUUAUGAAGUAUGCUCAGCUUUUUCAACACUGCACAAUAUCACAUGGUGGUAGCUGGACUAAGCAAAAAGUGUCCAUUUUGCUAAAAUUCACUGCGCAAACUAAAGGACAAGCACAAUAAAAUAAAAAUUAAAUUAAGUUCUAUGAACUGUCAUAAAUGAUCUUCCCUUUUGUUCUUUUCUCCAGCAUUCUUUAUUCUGCCCAUGUGCUUGACUGUCCUGGACAGCUACUUGCUCCUGCAGAGCAAAAUGAAAUAUAAGAAGACAGAUUGCACUCGUGUUACAUGGAAUUGUUCAGCAGCCACAGGACGACUCUAUUCCUAAUCCUACAAGUGUCAGACACCACAGAACCUCGUAUAAAACUCAGAGCACCCUUUGCUCACACUGUUGUAGUGAAGGGAAGCCUCAUUGAGUUGUCAAAGCGAUGUCCUUCCAUUAUAAACAUAUCAUAAAAUAUGUUCACGGCACUUACCUCAUAAACUGCUUAUUCAAGUUUUUCAUCUCAGGCCCUUAAAUAGCAUACAUAUAAAACACUCAAGUGAAGGACAUUCUCAGUCAAACUUUUCAUUUCAUGCACACACACACACACACACACACACACACACACACACACACACCUGCAUGCCCAGAGCUCAUGCCCUUGCUCAACCUCACCUCGCCUCAGACAGGCGCAGCUCCAACGCUUCCACUGCUAAGCGCCCCACCUUGGCGCAGGUAAAACGUCAGUCCACAGGUUUCUGCUUUGACGGGUUCAGAGCGCGCCGGCCAAGACGUCCCAAAACAGCUGCUCCACAGCUGCCCGGAGCUGCAAGAUGUGCCAGUGCCUCAAUCCACUAGACCACGCAGACUGGAGGAGACAGAGAGGUCCUGGUGCUGAUUUGCUGGAAGAGUAUCUGUCAAACUUUGAAAUACCGAGGGAAGAAUCUCUCUCCCAAAAGAAUCAGGCCAUAAACUCCAUGAUGACCCAGAACCCCACUCUCUCUCACCUGGACAAAGCUAAGGUAUGGUCACAGACGCAGAAACACUGGUGGCCUACAGCAGUAUGUUGUCACGGCGACCCCCUCCACCCUCACUCACCCG